Molecule: long non-coding RNA, 605 nt
Filed under: Mustela putorius furo (domestic ferret)
Lineage: Eukaryota; Metazoa; Chordata; Mammalia; Carnivora; Mustelidae
Description: lncRNA (ENSMPUG00000030937.1)
Source: RNAcentral
GGCCGGGUGGGGCCAGAGUGUCCGUCGUGCCGUGGCGGGGCUCCCAGGAGACCCCUCGGGGCUUCCCCACGGGGGGGGGGCACUAGGUGAUUCCGCGCCCAGCCUCCUCCUGUCGGGGCCACUCAGCCUUCUCCGAUUUGGAUCCGGAGUUUUUUAAGCUGCGGGGACUUUUCUGUGCAGUACCUUGUUCAGUCCCCAUCGCAGCCUUUCCCACAGGGGCACGGUGGUCGCGGUGCCUCCCCCAGACUCACCGAGCACUUCCGGAACGUUCCCUUUUUCCUUCAUCGCUUCAAAAAUAACAGCUGCUUUGGAGAAUGUAUGCACCUUUCUAGACAGCCCUGAAGAAAGCGAGAAACUCAGGAACCGCAGGGCAGUGGAUGGUGGGGAGUACUUCUUUUCUUCCUGGCAGUCACCGUGGAGGGAAAAGAGAUCAGCCACCAUGACUGGCUUCGUCUAAUCCCCAGAACGAUGGACAUCUGCGUUGUCUCUACUCCUGGGCCAUUGUGAACAACAGGCUGUGAACACGGGCGUGCAAAUAUGUCUUUGAGAUCCCGCUUCCCAUUCUUGUAGGGACAGACCCAGAAGUGGAAUGGUUUGAUCACAAG